Molecule: ribosomal RNA, 277 nt
Filed under: uncultured bacterium
Lineage: Bacteria
Description: partial 16S ribosomal RNA
Rfam family: Bacterial small subunit ribosomal RNA
Source: RNAcentral
AAUGAACGUUGGCGGCGUGGAUUAGGCAUGCAAGUCGAACGGGCCGCAAGGCCAGUGGCGGAAGGGUGAGUAAGGCGACGGUAACCAACCCCAUGGUUGGGUAUAGCCGCGGGAAACUGCGGGUAAUCCCCAGCGACGUCCGCGUCGGACAUCCGAUGCGGACCAAAGCCCUGGCGCCGUGGGACGGGCCGUCGUGGUAUUAGGUCGUUGGCGGGGUAACGGCCCACCAAGCCUAUGAUGCCUACCGGGCGUGCGAGCGCGACCCGGCACACUGGGA